Dendrobium catenatum is the source of this 106-nucleotide small nucleolar RNA. Lineage: Eukaryota; Viridiplantae; Streptophyta; Magnoliopsida; Asparagales; Orchidaceae. The record is from RefSeq and is a predicted model, not a curated record.
AAUUUAUGCUGAAGACACUUUCAAAGCAUCUCCUUAAAUAUCUCCCAACUCUCAUAAAUAGAUUCUCCUUCUAAUUGAGUAAAAAAGUAAUAUCAUUUCUAAGUUU